ACUUCCGGAAGAGGGGCGACAUCCGCUUUGGCUUCCUGUUCCGGACCCUGAAACUCGCUGUUCGGUACCGUGACCCCGUAUGCUAGGGCCGUGGGAUUAGCUGCCUACAGGUCCCUACAUUUAACGCAGUAGCUCAGCUUCUCCCGGCCCACGAGAGGAUGAGGUACCCUGAGGAGACUCUGCAGCAAUGGUUUUUGAAGACAUCUGGGACACAGGAAAUGCUCGGAGUCCGCUGGUGUUUGCGUUCUGAUGUUGCUGAUGUGUGACAAGGUACCCUCGGAAGCCAACUUCGGGAUGGAGAGUAAGCCUGAAGGAAGUGCAUCGGGGAGGGGCUCUCAGCAUCAAUGCCAGGGGCAGAGGAGGAGAAGCUGAGCUGUGAGAGCCUCCCUGGUGAUACUAUGAUCCCUAUGGGUGUUGAAUGCUGUUUUGGCUACCUCCAGAGUUACCUUGGGAAAGUCAUCUCAUCUUCUGUGAACUUUAUUUUCUUCAAUGGUAACUAAAAGGCAUGGCUAAGAGAGUUCAUGGUUUUGAUGAGUUAUUCUGUGGAUCCAGAAGAUCCUAGAAGGUAUGUGAAUCACAGGAAAAAAAAAUUGGGCCAACUUUUGACUUUUUUUUUUUUUGGACAGGCAGAGUGGACAGUGAGAGAGAGAGACAGAGAGAAAGGUCUUCCUUUUGCCGUUGGUUCAUCCUCCAAUGGCCGCCGCGGCUGGCGCGCUGCGGACAGCUCACCGCGCUGAUCCGAUGGCAGGAGCCAGGUACUUAUCCUGGUCUCCCAUGGGGUGCAGGCCCAAGCACUUGGGCCAUCCUCCACUGCGCUCCCUGGCCAUAGCAGAGAGCUGGCCUGGAAGAGGGGCAACUGGGACAGAAUCCAGCGCCCCGACUGGGACUAGAACUCAGUGUGCUGGUGCCGCAAGGCGGAGGAUUAGCCUAGUGAGCCACGGCGCCGGCCCAACUUUUGACUUUUAAUUUCUCUUUUCCUAUCAAAACAUUAUUCUGACUAGGACUGACUGAAGAAUUUGAGGCCAGCAUUGUUGCAGAGUAGGUUAAGCUACCGCUUGGACAGCAGCGUCCUAAAACAGAGUGCCGGUUGCGUCCCAGCUGCUUCACUUCCCACCCAGUUUCCUGCUAAUGGGCCUGAGAGUCAGCGGAUGAUGGCCCUAGUACUAGGGACCCUGCCACCUACAUCAGAGACCAGAGUGGACUUCUUGGCUUCUGGCUUCUGCCUGGCCCAGCCCUGGUUGUUGUGGCCAUAUGGGGGGUUAACCAGCAGAUGUAAGACCUCUCUGCACGACUCUGUCUCUAUCUUUGUGUCACUCUGCUUUCCAAAUACAUAAAUAAUCUUUUUUUAAAAAGAGUGGAUAUUAUUGACUCCUUUCACAAGGCCACAAAGGGACCUUAGGAAUAGGAAUGUGGAAUUACUUGAAAGGGAUAAAAGAGGGCAAAACCUGUAAUAAGUGAUCACUCCAUGAAGUGAAGCUCCUUAUUUUCUUCUUUAUUUCUAAUUUUAUCCUUAUUUAUUUUUUCCUUGAUGUAUUCUUAAACUUUUUUUUACAGUAGAAUAAAAUAUAGUAUGACUUAACCCCUAGAUUGUGCCAAUACUUCUGUAUCUUUUCGCUUUUACUUUUCAAUUAAACUUCUGACAGCUACAAUACAACUCCUUUCUCUGACUCCCGACUGCCAUCCAUGGGACAUUGUGACAUGAUAGGAAGAUGCUGAGAAUUGAGAAAAGCAACAGAAGGCCAUACUGGGAUGUAGGAUACCUGGUGCAGAUGACAAGAGGAAGGAUCCAUCCCUGGGAUCCACAUGCUUUUUGAUGAGUUUGGAGCCCUUUUUUUUUAUUUUAUUUUGCAAAAUAAUUUUUUCCUACUAAGCAUGCAGCCCUAUGUAUGUAGGUAUCUGUGAAAUCAUGAGAUUGACUGAGGUCUAAACUUGUACGGGUCUUGAUCCUGCAUCAUGUUCCUGUGGUUGGUUGGUAUAUCCAUUGAUUUAAGGCUUUAAAAAGUCUGAAAUUCAUGCUGUUAGUGUUAGCCUUGACCUUUUUCAGUCUUCUUGACUUAUUCUCAGGAGGUCCGUGUGACUGCACCACUGCUACUCUUCUGUUCUCCAGGACUAGGUCCACUAGAAGGUCCACUGUCCUAAUCUUUUCCCAUGGCUCUGUGCACUCGGUCAACAAGUACAGACCACCCAUAUAAAAACACCCUAUACAGACAGCCCCCGUCAGUAGGAUCACCUAUCUCCACAUGAAAAGCAGUAGAGAGCCAGUAGUACUGUUCUCUAUAGGUACACGUGUACUUCAAAUAGAUUAUGGAAAAAUGGAAUUAAAAGAUAUGUUUACCUUGGUGUAAAAGAACUUUGAAAUCAUAUAUAUGAGGAGUUCUCAAAAAGUUUAUGGAAAUAUAUAUUGUGAAAACUCUAUGCAUGGAUUUUACUAUCAUUGUAUCAAAAUAAACAUCUUAUAAUCACAUGUUCCAUGAAUGUUUUGAAGUACUCUGGUACACAUCAGUUCCAGGAGACUCCCAACGUCCCUACCUGCAUCAUGUGCUAGUUUCUGUUCUGCUAAGUGUAUUCAGGGUCUAAGAUCAAGUGCAGGGUCAUGGAAUAUUGUGAUUGCUCAGGUCCGUGCCAUCUGCUCAGGCCUGUUACAGGGGUAAAGAAGGAAAACUGAUACCCCACUGGGAGCAAACAGCAUAUAUAUGAAUAGUGUUUUCCAAAAACAUCGAAGGAUGAGAGAAGGGAAAUAUGCUAUAAAUAUAAAUUAGAGAUGCCACAGUGUAACACAAAAGUUGUCUCUCACUAGUAAAUCUUCUGAAGUUGAAUAUUGUGUCAUGCCCUCUAUCCUAAAUUCAUAUGUGGAAACCUAAUUCCCACAGUGAUAGUAUUAGAAGGUUAGGCUUUGGUAUGUGAUUAGGACAUGAGGGAAAAGUCCUCAUGAAUGAGAUUAAUGCCCUUUAAAAGAGACCCUCUAUAGCUAGCAAGCCCCUUCUGUUCUGUGAGGUUACGAUGGAAGAUGUGUGUCUGUGAAGGAAGCAAGCCCUCCACAUAUACUGACUCUGCCAGACCCUUAAUCUUGGCUAUCCAGCUGCUAGAAUCAUGAAAAAUAAAUUUCUGUUCUUUACAAGUCUAAAGUAUUUUUAUAGUUGCUGAAGCAGACAAAUACUAAGAUCUCUUAUAAACUGUAAGACAGCUAACAGUCUAUCAUGUCGUGUUUGGGUGGCAGAAGUGGGAGGGAUACCUGGGCCCUAAAAUCAAGGUUGAUGUUGUACAGCUUGACUUCCAUUUUCUGUUGCUGGGAUGCAUUUUCCCACUUCCAGAUUCCAGAAGGUGUACUGUUAUCUUUUGUUGGAGGACUAUCAAGAAUCACAAUGAGAGAUUUUUGUUUUGUAAAGUCAUAUCUUCUUUAUGCAAUUUUAGAAAUUAUACCAGGCAAAAAGAAUGAACACCACAAGCAAGCAAACAAUGUUGAAAGAUUUUCAUACCUCCUAUAGGAUGUGGUCUGAUUAAAUUUCACAUUUCUUUCCUUAGGAAUGGGAAACCCAGAGGAGGAAAUCCAAUGCACUGAUUAUUCCAUGAAUAAUAGGGAUAGGUGAAUCUAACUAUGUCCUUUCAACCAUAUGCUGGGACUGGAAUGAUAUCAUGUGAGAAAGACAACUCUGAUUUAUACUUACAACCCUUGAAAAUGAGUAAAUUAUAAGCUUGGCAAACUAUAUUUCCCAAUUUCUAAAAAAUGUUUCGACAUGUAUUCAAAAGGGCAUCAGUGGAAGUACUCUUAACUUGUGACAAAACAGGAAAUAAAUGACAAUGCUAAAAUGUCAUAGUGCCAUAUUACCAAAAUCUCUUUUGUGACUUUUAUUAACAUGCCCCACUGCAUGUGUCUGUGUGAAGUUUCUUGGAGCUUGAGAUCCAAGAGUCACAUACCAUCCAAUUCUUAGAAUUAUUUAGGAGCAUACCAAGUCUACCAAAGUUUGGUUUGUUUAGAGACUGAUAUGAUUUCUUUAUUGACUCCAUUAUGGGGAGAAAUAUGCCUUGGGAGCUGUGCUAACAAUUAACUAUACCAGAAUCAUGGGUGUUAGAUUUCCUAUUCCACUUUUUUUUUAACUUGAGUGUGAAAUGUAGUAUGUGUGGUUUUUAGUUUAUCAGACUAAUUAUGAUUUGCAUCAGUGUACAUUGUCCUGCAGAUUUAAUUAAUUGAUAAAAUACUAGGAAGAACAGUAUUUUUUUUUUACCAUACUAACAUCUCUCAUCAAUUAGAAUUGAAAGGAAAACAAACAGGCAAACAAGCCUUGAGUUUCCUGAAUGAUUGUGCAAACUCCAUGUGAGUAAUGAAUGUCCAGUCAGGAGAUUAAGCCAAACAAAUCCAUAAAUUGGGAGAUUAUCCAGACCAUUCACACUGGCCUUCCCUUGAUUAUACAAAUGGAAUGUAGGGUGAGAAUUUCUCAAAGCAGAGCUGCACUCUGCUGUGUUCUGCCUCGAGUUAUCAGAUUGGAUUUUCUUUACCUAAUGCUUUGUAGACCCGACUGAAGAGGGCCUCGCAAGGUCCCACGUUCUCAUUCAUUGUUUCAGACUCUGUGAAGAUGGUCUGACCAAUGGGACAGGCUUCAUGGUAGCUGAAAGAAACAGCACUUUGGCUGGCGCUGUGGCUCGCUAGGCUAAUCCUCCGCCUGCAGUGGAUUAGCACACCGGGUUCUAGUCCUGGUUGCCCCUCUUCCAGACCAGCUCUCUGCUGUGGCCCAGGAGUGCAGUGGUGGAUGGCCCAAGUCCUUGGGCCCUGCAUCCGCAUGGGAGACCAGGAGAAGCACCUGGCUCCUGGCUUCGGAUCAGCACGGUGCACUGGCCGCAGUGGCCAUUGGAAGGUGAACCAAAGGUAAAGGAAGACCUUUCUGUCUCUCUCACUGUCCACUCUGCCUGUCAAAAAAAAAAAAGAAACAGCACUUUAAAAUGCAAGCCAGUGCCCUGAAUUGACAGAAUUCAGGAUAUUAAGAAAGCUUCUUCUCACCCCCAUAAGGACACAAGACAAGGGCUGAUCAAAUAUAAAAGGAAGAAUUCAGGGAAUAUAACAAGAGAAAUGGCCUCACAGCUCUCUGGGGUGAAAGCCUCCCUGGCUGAUGCACCCCACAGUUGGAGAAGGGGAAGUGGCAUUCACAUGCCCAAGACCCACUCUUCUCAGUGUUGGUCUUCCUGCACUUCAGAGAGAUCUUGAGUGAAUAGCAUCAACUUUGUUGCGCCAGUACCUUGAUCCUUCUCAAACUACUGUCCACUCCUUUCCCUUUCCGCCAGAUUUCACAGUGCCAUGUCUAAGACUAGUGAUAGUCUUGAAUCAACAUGGUCUAAUAAGCUAACAUGUUUCUGUGGGGAGCAGGGCCUGUCUCCUGCAACAUGGCAGGGUGCCCGGGGGACAAAUAAGUACUGAGACUAUGGACAAAUAAGUACUGAAACUACCGAGACUGGACUAGACCACUGAGACUAUUAAGACUAACUCUAUGCACCUGAUCUUCCAUCAUAUGGCGCUGAGAGGGAGUAAACAAAUCUUACACAGCUGCGUCAUUAAUUAGCUGAUUCCUGGCCCAACCCCUUAAAAGGGGGAGAGAGACAACAUGUGCGGCUGCGCCCCCCCUGAGAGAGUCGGCUGGAGAGCUCGCCGGUGCCGCCCCUCCACGGAGGCGGGGGAGCGGCAGCAAACCCGGGAAGGGCUGGGGAAAGAGAACAGCGCAGGGUCCGGGGUCGUUCCUCCGUGAGUGGGGGAGCGACAGUUUCUCAAGCAAUUACAAAGUACAUCACUCUUUAGGGGCAUUGAUUUUACAAGAACAUUUCAGAAAACAGUUAAGUAAAUAAGUAAUAUAAAACAUUUAAUCGCAUGAAUUUGUCAGAUUCAACCAUGAGACCUGGAGGAUAGUUUUCAUCUGUAGAUUGAAAUGUUGACAAACCUUCUGGAGUGUACUUAACUCUCUGGAUAUGAGAAAUGUAUGAGUGGAUAAGUUGAGAAGUACUGAGAAAAAAAGGUACCUUGGGAUCCCUCUAGCUCUACUUUUGUAGAUAAUUAUACACUUUUGUUUCUCCAUUUCACAGCAGAGUGGGAUAUUUCAUUAUUGAAACAGCCACUGAAGCCUGUGAUUACCUGCUUAUCCCCAGGAAUAUACAAAAUUCUGAUGCUAUCUGGCCAAAUUCAGGUGCUCUCAUUGCAUGCUUAUUACAUAAUGUUAACAUAUGAGAAAAACUGAAUAGCUUUCAAGAAUAACUUGGAUAUGCAUCAUUCUAUAGUAGUUUUGUUUUCAAAUAAUUCUAUAUUUACAGAGGGGUUGCAAAAACAAAACAGAAUUCUCAUGUACUCUCCAUUCAGUUUAUCCUAAUGUUAACAUUCUAUAUAAGCAUGAUACAUUUAUCAAAACAGAACUUAAUGUUGGAACCAUACUAUUAAUUAAACUUCAUACUUCAUUCAGCUUUCCAAAGUUGUUUCACUAACAACUUUUUCUAGUCCUGAGAUCAAAUUACUUGUAAUAUCUAGAAGAUUUUUUUAAAAGAUUUCUUUAUUUAUUUGAAAGGCAGAGUUACAGAAGGGCAGAGGCAGAGAGAGAGAAAGAGAAAGUCUUCCAUCUGCUGGUUCACUCCCCAAAUGGUUGCAACGGCCGGAGCCAUGCCAGUCCAAAGUCAGGAACCAGGAGCUUGCUAUGGGUCUCCCACGCCGGUGCGGGGGCCUAAGGAUUUGGGCCAUCUUUUACUGCUUUCCCAGGCCAUAGCAGAGAGCUGGAUCAGAAGUGGAGCAGGUGGGACUUGAACCAGCAUCCCUGUGGAAUGCUGGCACUGCAGGCAGUGACUUUACCCGCUAAGCCACAGUGCCAGCCCCUGAGCUAGAAGUUUUUACUUUUUCUUUUUAUCUUCAAAUAAUUCAGUAGACAUAACAUUACUAUUUUGAAGAGCUUUGAUCUUCCAUUAUUGCAAAAGACUAAUAAUAUUCCACAUUCUUUUAACAAAUAGUGUUAGGCUUUUGCAUUGAAUCAGUGGCUGCUUUAAAUCAGUAAUAAAUUUACUGUGUAAAAUUUUAAACUUAAGCAUCACAGAAAGAUGGGCUAAAACACUGUGACUAUUUCAAGGUAGUAUAAAAUUUCUUUCCUUCUAGCAAAAAUUUUUUUCACCUAGGAAAUGAUUUUCUGAUAAGCUAGAUUUGAUUUAUUACAGAAAACUCUGAAUAAUUUUAAAGGUAUUUUCCGACCCAUGUAACAGUUCAAACUAUGACUCUCUUACGGCACAAAUGUUGAGGUGUUGGAAGCAAAGAUGUAUUGUUACUCAUUUUUGUAUCCUGAACACUGCCUUAAGUUUGAUAAAUAUUUUUUGAAUUAAAGAAUGUAUGAGGCCGGCGCCGCGGCUCACUAGGCUAAUCCUCUGCCUGUAGCACUGGCACCCCGGGUUCUAGUCCCGGUAGGGGUGCCAGAUUCUGUCCCAGUUGUUCCUCUUCCAGUGCAGCUCUCUGCUGUGGCCCAGGAGUGCAGUGGAGGAUGGCCCAAGUGCUUGGGCCCUGCACCUGCAUGGGAGACCAGGAGGAAGCACCUGGCUCUUGGCUUUGGAUCGCUGCUGCGCGCUGGCCGCAACUCGCCAGCCGUAGCGGCCACUUGGAGGGUGAACCAACGGAAGAAGGAAGACCUUUCUCUCUCUUUCUCUUUCUCUCUUUCUCUGCCUGUCAAAAAAAAGAAUGUAUGAAAGUUCCUAGAAUCUUCAGGCUGGGGUGAAUUUGGGAGUUUGAUACUUUCAGGUUAAUCAGACUCCAGAGCCUCACCACUGACUGCCCUGAGUGUUUUGGUGUGAACAGUGUCAGAGUGGUUGAUAGGUGAUGUGUUAGCCAGCUUCAUGGAAAUGUCAUGAACCCAUGUGAAUACUGCCGGAAAACUCGCCAAGUUUUAAAUGUCUAAUACUUCUCUUCUGAAAGAACUAACAAGAGCCCUUACCAUCUCAUAAAUGUGCAAUCGACAUAUGGUAGAAGAAUGUGUCCAUACCACAAAGGCAAACAUCAGAUGAAGUCUUGGUCCCAUCCCUUUGGGUGUAAGCAACUUGCUAAUAAUGAAGGCUUCAUUUUUCUUUUUUUUUCUUUUUUUAUUUUUAUUUUUUUUUUUAUUUUUGACAGGCAGAGUGGACAGUGAGAGAGAGAGACAGAGAGAAAGGUCUUCCUUUGCCGUUGGUUCACCCUCCAAUGGCCGCCGCGGCCGGCGCGCUGCGGCCAGCGCACCGCGCUGAUCCGAUGGCAGGAGCCAGGAGCCAGGUGCUUUUCCUGGUCUCCCAUGGGGUGCAGGGCCCAAGCACCUGGGCCAUCCUCCACUGCACUCCCUGGCCACAGCAGAGGGCUGGCUUGGAAGAGGGACAACCGGGACAGAAUCCGGCGCCCCGACCGGGACUAGAACCCGGUGUGCCGGCUCCGCUAGGCGGAGGAUUAGCCCAGUGAGCCGCGGCGCCGGCCGAAGGCUUCAUUUUUCAAAGAUUUAUUUAUUUAUGUGAAAGGCAGAACAGCAAAGAGAGAGGGAGCAAGAGAGAGAGAGGAAGGGAGGGAGGGAGGGAGGGAGAGAGAGAGAGAGAAAUCUUCCAUCUGCUGGUUCACUCCCCAGGUGACAACCCAGCCAGGGUUGGUCCAGACUGAAGCGAGGAGGAAGGAUUCCAUCCUAGUUUCCCAUGUGAGUUGGCAGGAGCCUAUCCUUCCCAGAAAGCUGAAUCAGCAACCAGGACUCAAACCAGCAUUAUGAUAUGGGAUGCCAGUGAUACAGGUCGCGGCUUAACUCACUGCAACAAAAAACCAGCAAUCAUUUUAGGACUCUAAAUGCGGACAUGUGAAGUGCAGUAGGGCAGAAAUGUAUCCACUGAUCAUGUGCUGGUCUCAGUAUGUUAGUGUCUUGCCACAAUGUCUAACUGACUUCUCCAUGGCCUAGGUUUUUCUUGUCAUUGUCCUGAGUUCAGGGAUUUUUACAAACAUCUUUGUAUGUCCCCUUGGCAGUCUGUGCAGUGACAGUUGUACCUUUGUAUCUGUGGCUUCUGCAUCCAUGGAUUCAACCAACUGCAGAUGGAAAACAUUUGGGGAAAAAUACAUCUGUACUGAACAUGUACAGAAUAAUUUUUCUUGUCACUAUUCCCUAGACAAUACAGUGAAACAACUAUUUAUAUAGCAUUUUUAUUGCACUCAGUAUUAAAAGUCAUCCAGAGAUGAUUUAUAGUAUACGAGAGGAGGUGCAUAACUUCUAUGCAAAUACUACACAAUUUUAGGUAAAGGACUGGAGCAUCUGCAGAUUUUGGUAGGGGCUGGGUGGGAGUCCUGGAACCAAUCCCUCACAGCUACCAAGGGACAACUGGAAUUGUUUAUUUAUUUUGCUUAUUUUUAUUAAUAAUUGCAUUACUAAAAGAAUUCAAAUAGGAAUGCCUUUUAGAAUUGUAAACAAGUCCCUGCCAAGCCAGAAAAUUAAUGUUUGUUUUGUAUUCUCUUCUUUGUAAACUCAGGGGAGUUGAAAGUUUGAAUAGUUUGUCAAGGCUAAUGAAAUCCCGUGAGUGUUUGUUCCUUGCAAGCCUAGUUUAUCCAGGUGGAAUUUGGCUGUACUAUCCAUGAUCUGGGCCUCCACUGUGGAUGCGUUCACACAAUAUAUGUCCUGGAAACUUUAUCCCUAAUGCAGCAGUGUUGGAAGGUGAGGUUUGGGGGGAGAGGGGUUAAGUCAUGAGGGCCCCUCCCUCAUGAAGGGAUCCAUGUAUCUAUGAAAAGGCCUUUAUGGAGUGGGUUCUCUCUCUUCUGCCCUUUGGCCUGCAAGCACACAGCGGGGAGGCCCACAGCAGAUGCCAGCACGUUGAUCCUGGGCUUCCCUGCCUACAGAACUGUGAGAGAAUAAACUUUUCUUCAUAAAUUACCCAGUCUUAGGUGUUCUGCUACAGCAGUAUAAAAUGAGCUAAGACACCUUCACAUAUCCUACAUUUCCCAAAGCACUAAGAAGAGAUCCAUGCGCGAGGGUUCAUGAGCAAAUAUUUGCUUCUUUAAAGACUGAAGUGGGGGGCUGACAUCGUGGUGCAGUGGAUUGAGCCCCUGGCAUCUUGUAUGCACACUAGUUCGAGUCCCGACUGCUCCACUUUGGAUCCAGCCCACUGCUAAUGCCACAACAUUUUCUGGGUCUUCCUUAACACAAACCACAUGUGGAACAAUCUUACACAGAUUUAGGCUUGUAAACACCACACCCAUGCUGGUUAGACCUUGCCACAUGCUCUGCACUCAUUAUCUUGCUGCUUGCAGAAGGCUUCCUAACACACAAUCAUCAUGCGAAGUACAAGGUGGGGUCUUGCGCUUUGGUUCAAGACAUAAGUAACUCUGCAGGAAUUAUUUCAAUCAUAGGCAUAUGACUCAUGGUGAUGACUCACUUAAUGCCAUUUUUUAUUCACACAAAAGCAGUAUGCAGAGUCAGACCUCAGUCUAGUAAGAAAUAUUAAAAAAUGGGUUUCCAUGUAUUUUAUAGAAUUUUUGGUUGUGGUGGUUUAUCAGAUAUCCAUGUAUGUCUAAUUUGUCAUCUUACUAAGAAUUGUAUUUCUCACCUGAGUGAAAUGCACAUUUGUUUUCAGGUAAACUUGUUGUGUUCUUUCUGCUUUCUUGCAUCUCAUUCCUUUCUUGCUUCAACAUUUAUUGUGUACAAAAAUAUUCUGUGGGGAGGAAAAAAUAAGAAAUAUAUGUAAAUCAGUCACCUUCAAGUGCAGCAAUAAGAAGUGGCAUCUCCAUACAUUGUAUACAGUCAUGGAAUCUAUGCUUUCUUUUCAGGUACUGUGGAAUGCUUGGGUCGGGUGGUGCUGAGACUUCACAGGUGUCCGUGUGCCUUUCAAGCAGCAGCUAUUAGUAGGCAAUUACUUGAUGGUUUCUAUUAAUCAGUCCGGUCAGUUUGAACUUGAAGUCGCUUGCUGUUGUGCUCUGCUCCUAAGAGCCGGCAUUUGGUAUCAAUUGCUGAAAUGUCUUCUUUUCCCCUGGCAGCAAUUGAAAUUAAUUUGGUUCUCCUCUUGCUGGCUUACCCUUGUGGAACAUUUUUCUUCUUAGUUCUUGACAAAGUGGUUGUGUGAUCCAUAACUUGUGUUCAAAGCCUUCCUCCAGCAAGGAAGUCAAUCAAAUCCCCAAGGAAGAAAAUGGCCCAGCAGAUACCCCAGGAUUCUGCCUCAGCAGGCACGGAGCCCAAACCCAGAUCGGCUGACCCUUUGUCCUUGUGCUUCUACUCCAUCUGGAUAUUCUCAGUGAGGCUCUUAAAGUGAUUUUUGUGUGAACUGAAAAUUACAUUAAGAGGUUAUGUACUAUAAUAAGAGAAGAGGCUCUGGAUUUGGAUGGGCUGAACUCCACAUUUUGGCUUCAACACUUACUUGUAUGAUGUAGGACAAGUCAAUCUUUCUGUACCUCACUGACUUCAACUGCAAAACCAGAAACUCAAAUACACUGCAGAGACAAUUGUAGUUAGGCAGGCAUACUAAAGUUCUUCAGAAAGUUCACAAAAAAUGUAUAUUAUAAAAAAUGCAUGAUUUAAAAAUUUCUUUACACCGAGAGAAACUUAUCUUUUAAUUUCAUUGUACAAUAAACCUCUUGAAGUCCCCUUGUGUAUGUCACCUGCCAGGAGCUGGACACACAGGGAGAUAGUAGGUGUUUCAUAUAUGCCUACUUUGAAGCAGCCUCUUUCCUGCAGCCUCAACCCAAAAUGAAAACUGGGAUGUUUUGGCAGUCCCUUAAGGAACUGUUCACUCAAAUAGCCUGGCUGAUGGAAGGGACAGAUUUCUUCAAACCCUGCAAAUUGUCACCAGCAGUGAUGUAUAACUAGUGACAUCAAGCACUGACAUGUGGACCAACGGAGCCUGCUGAGGCUAGGGAGGCUUCCUAGGCCUUUGUGUAAUGGCCUUUGUGUAACGUUAAUAGACACAAAAAUGUCUUCUCUAUAAACAUGUUCCAGGUGCACUCCAGAGGCUGUGGUGGUGGUGAGUUUAUUUUUUUUAAUAAAAACUAGUCUGAACCACAAGCACCCAAUUAGAGAGGCUCAGUUAGAUUACUGAAAGCUUUCAGACCUGGACACAAUAGAAGAGGUUUUGAGGGGCUCAAGCAGGGGAAACCAUAAUGAGAAAGACACUGAGCCUGUUUUUAUUCCUAACAGCAGCUUUGUUUGUCCUGUCUCCAAGGUCAGAGCUGUGCUGCUGAGACUGAAUUCAUUUCCCUACAAAGUAUUUUUGUUCCUUCCUUGCAAGGAUUUGUGAAUGGACCCUGAAAUUCAGGGGUCUUGGUUCCCAGGAGUGCAGCAGGUUUGGCAGCUACACAGUGAAUAGCAGUGGACAGUUUCCAGUCUUCACUCAGAUGUCUGAUCCGAUUGCAAAAGACACCAAAACCCCGGGAUGGUUCUGAUUCAGAAGCUUCCCUCUUGACAUGCUGAAAGAGGAAGAGACAUGGGAAAUGGUUAUGUUUUCGUCCUGGUCUGGCCCAUGAGUUCUGGCCCAGAGACUGCCACACGUGCCUUUUAAUUUGUGCACACCCUGAUGUGCAGAUGCAUUCUAAAGUUUGGGAACCCAGGCUGUUCCAGGUCAACACCAUUAAAGUUGGGACUCGACAUGUUCACUGACCUUGCUGGACCUAAGGCAAGCUGCAGAGACCUGAUUACACAUGCCCCUUUCUUGUCUUCUUGUCACUGUCAUUGUUCUCUCUUUGCUGGUGUCCCCAUUGUUGACAUAUUCCAUUAUGUUGUGUUAUUAUCUGAAUUUUUUUUGAAAUUAGAAACAAAGAUAUAUUUGCUUACCUCUGUUAAUGUGGAUCUCAAAGAUGUAUCUGUUCUACCAACCCAUCUUCUUUUCAAGUAGUCUAUUCAGUUCAUAUAUGUUUUCUAAGCAAUAAAAGGUCGCUUUCUCUGUCUUUCCUUCUCUUUGUCACUCUGCCUUUCAAGUAAAUAAAUCUUUUAAAAAAGGAAAGCAAGAUGAUGUGGCUAGGGGUGGGCAUUUGAGCUGGUGGUUAAACCACCACUUCAGAUGCCUGUAUCCCUUUUUAGAGUGCCUGGGUUUGAGUCCUGACUCCAUUCCCAACUCCAGGUUCCUGCUAAUGCACACUCUGGAAGGCAGUAGUUGAUGGAUCAAGUAGCUGUGUCUCUGUCACCCACAAGGGAGACCCGGACUGAGAUCCUGGUUCCUGGUUUUUCAGAUGAUAGAAUAUUUGCAUAUAUACCAAAUGGGAUUUACAGGGGAUGAGAUCCAAGUCUAACUACAAAACUUUUUCACAUAUAGGCUAUACACAGAACUUAAUAUUAAUUUUAUGCAAUAUUUUUAGAAUACCUGCAUUUUGAUUGCAGCCCACCAUAUGAGGUAAGAUGUGGAAUUUACCACUUAUGACAACAUGUCAGCACUCAGAAAGUUCCUGAAUUUUUGAGCAUUUGAGAUUUUUUGGAUUUAGGGAUUAGAGAUGUUCAACCUGUAUUAGAAGAUUUGAUUAUGAUUACUGGAAAGCAAUAGACAUUGCUUUGAAUCUGGGUUUUAUCACUUAAUUGUAGGUGACCUUGUAAUGCUUCUCUAUGCAAGAAUUUUUUAUGGAGUUUAUAAUAUUACUUUGCUUUCAGAUUACAUAAACGUGCAUAUAAAGUCCAUUGUAAAGGUGUUAGAACAUAAUAAUGAAUAGUUUUUAUUAUUAAAAUUUAGUACCUGCCCAUAUAGAUGGUAAUUUCUCUCUGCCAAUCUCAUUCUUUGCUACAUGGGUAACUUCCAUUAAACACCAGUGUCACCCACCGUAUCAAGUUGCAUUCACAGACUCCUACUACUUUUUAAAUAAACUUUCAAUUCUUUGGCCAUGUGUUAAAUGUUCUUUACCUCAAAGGACCGCCUUGAUCCCUGUGUGAGCUUCUACUCCAUGCCUAUUAUCUUUUAAAUUAGUUUUAUUUUUUGUGGCUUGUGAUAUUUGGUUAUGUCACUUCAUUUUCUAUUACUCUCAGUUUUCUCAUCAGCAUAUUGUACAUAAUAAUAAAUUUCUGCCCUGCCUCACUGUGCAGAGAAAAAGUAGCCUCACUAGCUACCAAAGAUCAUCUCUUUGGACACAGCAUCAGCUGCCAGGAGAGCAAUCCAAAACGCUGUGCUCCACACUUAGACCCCCAGAAUGAAGAGAAAGAUUCCUUCACCGGCCAGGGCAAUAGCACCUCUCAGGAAGUUACAGAGAGGACCUCAGAUUUCCAAACAGGUCUGGUCUCCAGCCCAAGGACCCUGAGGAGUGAGGAUGAUUUGACCCACAAUGUCUCCUAUGUCACCCUAUGUCUCUAGUUUUAAAUAGUGCGUAUUUAUGGCAACUUCUCUUUUGUAAAUCUCUCAAAGAUUGGCUCAAAAGUACUCCCAGCUGAGCAUAUUCUUCCUGGCAGUACUUCCAGCUGAGUAUAUUACUCUUGGUAGACUACCUUUCAGAAGCCAAAAGCAGGGCCUGCAAUGUUAUUUAUGGGUCUUUAAGAGGAAAAGAAUUUGUCCAACAGAAAGGCUCUUUAAUUGUAAGGGACAAGUCCAAAGUGUUUAGAACUUUUAACUUUAUCUUGCUUGAAUUAUUACCAACACGUAACAAUUGCAGUCAAUCUAAAGUAUGGCAGUGAUUUUGCAAUAUGGUGUAUAAUGAGGAUUUUGUGGAAAUAUUUGCAACUUUUUAAUAUUCAUGUUUCAAUAGGCAUGCCCUAAAUUCCUCAGCAUAAUUUUGAAUAUAAAACAUAACUACCAGUAGCAAGAGAGUAAUUUGAUAAUUCCAUUGCUCUGCUGUGUUAUCUGUCCUUUCAGAUCUAUCCAAGUAUUAAUGUCACAAGUUCCUUCUAUAAUAUUUUAGCUAAUAUUUCCCUGGUCUCUGAAGAAAAAUCUUGUUAUUUAUCAAUGUAAUUUCAGAUUCACUGUCAGCUCCAGCAUUAAAAAGGUAGAUAGAUAGGAAAAAUAUGUAAAUUCUAUGAAUAUGUUUUUUUCAAAUUUUAAUAAAAUGAAAACACCCACACCUAGAACUUAUAUUAGUCUGUUAUUCCUUUCAGAAUCAUAAAAGCUAUAAAAACCAAUAAUGUGCCUAUCAGCUACUCCUUACUAUGUGGCUAUGUAAUUUGAAAACUGCUAAUUGUGCUAUUCUAUAUUAAUUGUAUUCUCAAUCUCAUUCUACUUCCCUUUAUUUAUUUGAUUUU
Oryctolagus cuniculus (rabbit) is the source of this 15125-nucleotide non-coding RNA. Lineage: Eukaryota; Metazoa; Chordata; Mammalia; Lagomorpha; Leporidae. The record is from RefSeq and is a predicted model, not a curated record.